AUGCCAUGACGUGGGCAUUUCUUUAGUAAUUCAUUGUACCUUUCCCAAGUAUGAAACACUGCUUCAUCAUCCAUUUGUCUAAAAAGACAAAUUUCAUUUUUGAACUU
Molecule: small nucleolar RNA, 107 nt
Organism: Cynara cardunculus var. scolymus (artichoke)
Lineage: Eukaryota; Viridiplantae; Streptophyta; Magnoliopsida; Asterales; Asteraceae
Source: RefSeq, a predicted model, not a curated record